UUUGAUAUAUAUUUUUUAAUACUAUAUGUAUAUCUAUUGAUCUAAUUUUUUGAUUGUGUCAAUGAUCUCACGCCAUAUGCCAAUAGCAGUUGACUUGUCGGCCACAAGAUACAAGAUUAGGGUUCACUUGAACAUAUUUCAUAGGUUUACAUCCGUAUUGAAGUGGCGACAUGUUCUCUACUUUUUGCCGUCGUUUUGAGUGUCAUGGUUGGAGAUUUACCCUCGUGAUAGUCUUUAUACCAUUUUUGGUUUAAACAAUUCCAUUCAAUUGGUUAAUGGUAAGUUGAUAUUUGUUCCUUUCAUGAUUUUUGCAACUAAUGGUUUGUAAUUUAGAUGAUGGUACCUGCAAUGCACAUAACCUGUUUGUGAAAAUGCCUAAGUGAAUGUUUGUUGAAACAAAAAUUGUAUGCUUGAAAGUUUAUGUCACUGACGUAUGUAUAUGUAAAUAUUGUUAUAUGUAUUUUAGUUUUAAUA
Long non-coding RNA from Lactuca sativa (garden lettuce), 474 nucleotides. RefSeq lists it as uncharacterized. The record is from RefSeq and is a predicted model, not a curated record. Lineage: Eukaryota; Viridiplantae; Streptophyta; Magnoliopsida; Asterales; Asteraceae.